Molecule: non-coding RNA, 274 nt
Organism: Epinephelus lanceolatus (giant grouper)
Lineage: Eukaryota; Metazoa; Chordata; Actinopteri; Perciformes; Serranidae
Source: RefSeq, a predicted model, not a curated record
UGUGAAGAAUGCCAACAUUUCUGACUGCAUGGGACAAGACUUAAAACUAGUUGUUAGCUGCACAGCUCCUGUACUAUUAACUGCCGUGUGCGCACUAUUUUACAGGAAUUAAUGAGGCCUGUCGACAGUAUCUCUGCAAAAUGAAGGUGGACGUCAGAUGGCUCAAUAUGAUGUACAGCAUUGACCAACACAAACUACUAUACAGGUCUCGGCAAAGUCAGGAGACAUGAAGCUGGAAGCUGAAAAUCUGAACUGAUGGAGAAACAAGGCAAGU